Molecule: RNA transcript, 4455 nt
Organism: Anguilla rostrata (American eel)
Lineage: Eukaryota; Metazoa; Chordata; Actinopteri; Anguilliformes; Anguillidae
Gene name: inactive ubiquitin carboxyl-terminal hydrolase 54-like
Exons: 15
Source: RefSeq, a predicted model, not a curated record
CGGAGAUAUUCACGGAGUACCUUUCGGAUAGGGGACGAAGCAGCUGCAUCUGGGCUUGAGCGAGAGACCGGCGGACCAGUGAAUAUCGAAGGCGUCUCUCUCUCUCUCUCUCUCUCUCUCUCUCUCUCUCUCUCUCUCUCUCUCUCUCUCUCUCUUUCCCUCCCUCAUUGUGGGACGUUCCGCCGGGAAAGGGUGCGCCAGAAGCCCAGCCCAGGACACAGACGGGACGCCCGACUCCGUUUCGCCAGAGUACUGGACACGGGCGGCUCGGCGGGGGGGGUGUGAGAGGUCAGACCCGUAUCUGACGGCACCGGGGGUGGGUGGGGUGGGGGUUGGGGGUCUCUCGCUGGCUGGCGGCGGCGGGCACGGGACACGGGACUAACGAGCGGCCCAUGGGGGGGCAGGGCCACGUUGACGAGUUUCGGGAGCCCCGCCUCUCCUCUGCGCUGAAAUCGCCGCCUCUCCUCCCGCUCCCUGACCGCGUCCGCUCCCCCGAUUCCCGCCCCUUCGUCUCCAGCGGGGGGUGAGCGGCGCGCGGGACCGACCGAGGUUACGACCGAGGGACGACCGCAACUCGACCGCGCGCUCUUCCGGAGCCUCUGACUUUCCUUUCUCCUCUUUCUCUUUCUCUCCGCCUUUUUAUUCCCCGCCUUCCGCCUCCCGGCUUCCGCAAGGAUGAACGUCUCCCUUUUUCCCUGCCGAAGGACGGUCGCGUGGUGACCGCGGGGGGGGAGGGGGGGCGGAUAGGGGGAAGGCUGGAGGUCGCGGUCGCGGUCGUGGCCGUGGUCGUGAGACCGGAUCCAGGACCAUGUCGUGGAAGAGGAACUACUUUGCGUCCGGCAGCAGCGGUAUGCAGGGCAUCUUCACGCCGCGGAACAUGACGUCCAUCGCCCCCAGCAAGGGCCUCAGCAACGAGCCGGGACAGAACAGCUGCUUCCUCAACAGCGCGCUGCAGGUCCUGUGGCACCUGGAUAUCUUUCGUAGGAGUUUUCGUCAGCUGACCACACACAAGUGCAUGGAGGACUCCUGUAUCUUCUGUGCUCUCAAGAGCAUAUUUGCGCAGUUCCAGUUCAGCAGCGAGAAGGUGCUCCCCUCCGACGCCCUGCGCAGCGCUCUGGCCAAGACCUUCCAGGACGAGCAGCGCUUCCAGCUGGGCAUCAUGGACGACGCGGCCGAGUGCUUCGAGAACCUGCUGAUGCGGAUCCACUUCCACAUCUCGGAUGAGACGCAGGAGGACAUCUGCACCGCCAAGCACUGCAUCCCGCACCAGAAGUUCGCCAUGACGCUCUUCGAGCAGUGUGUGUGUAACAGCUGUGGGGCCACGUCAGACCCUCUACCCUUCAUACAGAUGGUCCACUACAUCUCCACCACCUCCCUCUGUAACCAAGCCGUCCGCAUGCUGGAGUGCCGGGAGAAGCCCACGCCGGACAUGUUCGGGGAGCUGCUCCGCACCGCCAGCACCAUGGGCGACCUGCGCAAUUGUCCCAGUAACUGUGGGGAGAUGUUGCGUAUUCGCCGGGUGCUGAUGAACUCCCCAGAGAUCAUCACCAUAGGCCUGGUGUGGGACUCGGAGAACUCCGACCUGGCUGAAGAUGUCAUCCACAGCCUGGGCACCUGCCUCCGUCUGGGCGAUCUUUUCUUCCGGGUGACGGAUGACAGGGCCAAGCAGUCAGAGCUCUACCUUGUGGGCAUGGUGUGUUACUACGGCAAGCAUUACUCUACCUUCUUCUUCCAAACCAAGAUCCGCAAGUGGAUGUACUUUGACGACGCACAUGUCAAAGAGAUCGGGCCCAAGUGGAAGGAUGUGGUCUCCCGGUGUAUCAAGGGACACUACCAGCCCCUGCUGCUGCUCUACGCUGACCCCCGGGGGACGCCGGUGGCACUGCAGGACCUGCCCACUCACCUCGACCUGCACCACUGCAGCAAGGCUGGCUACGACAGCGAAGACUCAGGGCGGGAGCCGUCCAUCUCCAGCGACACGCGCACGGACUCCUCGGCGGACAGCUACACGCACCGGCGCUCGCACCCGCACCACGAGUCCAUGGCCAGCCGCUUCUCCUCGGACUCGCAGGGCACCGUCGUCUGUCACCCCGACGACGACGACAAGGGCUCCCAGAGCAGCAUGGACGCUCCAGGGGAGACUCUGAAAGACCAGCAGACCCCUCGGUCCACACCCAAGCCCUGCCCGUCGGGCCGGCUGAGGGACUUCAAGGACCCGGGGCCCAUGGCGCACAGCCGGCCCCUGUCGUCCUCCUCCAGCUCGGGGGUGGGCAGCUCGGAGCCCGGGGCGCGGGCCCACGACUGGGAGGACGAGAGCACCAGCAGCGAGUCCAAGUCCAGCUCCUCCGGGGGGCGCUACCGCCCGGCCUGGAGGCCCCGCCGCGAGGCCCUGAACAUCGACAGCAUCUUCAGCCGGGAGCGGCCCCGGCAGGCUGGGAGCGGGCCCCCAGGGGCCAUGGCCCUGCCGGAGGACGCCGGCGCGCAGGGGGUGGGGACGGGACUCGGGACGGGGACGGGGGCGGGGCGGGCCGGGGCAGGGCCGGGAUGCGUCCUGACGCCCGUCGCCAGCGUCGUGGAGCGCUGCCCGCCGCCCCCGCCGCCCUUGAGGGGGCUCGACCCCCCGCCCCGCCUGAUUCAGAGGAUGGAGAGUGGCUACGAGAGCAGCGAGAGGAACAGCAAUAGCCCUGUCAGCAUGGAUAUGCCCCUUGCUGAGGCAAACAGAGCCACCCCUCUCAGGGACGCUGCGGUGAAGAAACCUUUGACUCCUGUCCCGUCCUGGCGCAGUGUCCCCAAAUCCAAGAGCAGCAGUGCCAUCCUGCAGGACAACAGAACGCCCACACCCUCCUGGAACAGCAGCCACGUCAACCUCGCCGGUGAAGGCCGCAGCGAGCUGGACGAGCUGCAGGAGGAGGUGGCUCGCCGCGCGCGGCAGCAGGAGCUGCAGAGGGAGAGGGAGAAGGAGAGAGAGGUCGCCAUGGGCUUCAACCCCAGACCCAGCAAGUACAUGGACCUGGAUGAGCUACAGCACCAGGGUAAACACCGCACUACACCAACACCUACGAGAGAGAGAGGGGUGGAGGGACAGAAGAAAGGGAAAGAUAAAGGUAGAGACGGACACAGAGAUAGAAAGACAGAGACGGAGAUAGAGUGAGAGAAAAAAAAGGGAGAGAAGAGAUGGUAAGGGAGAGGAAGAGCCAGAGAGAUCAGCAGUUGAAAAGAGACAGCUUUAUGCUUCUCCCAUCUUGUAGAAGAUAUAUUUCAGUUAAUUAAAAAAAUUAGCUGAUUUUGCUGAUCAAUGGGAAAGAGCUUCCAGCGGCCAAAAGCCCCACUUACUGGACAGUAUGUACCUCAGCCCCACCACUUGAGGGACAAUGUUAGAAGUGUUUACAUUUAAAAAUGCUUUUCUAAUUAUUAAAUAUAGAGCCUGUUUAUUAUUUUGCUGUUAAAGUAACCAUUCGGAUAACUAGAGUGAAUGGUCUUCAGUUAAAAUUGUUUCACUACAGUACUGCUUGUAUUUAUGUAUUGUCAAUAUAUAGUCCAUGUAUGUCAUGUCAGUAAAGCGUGUUGAAUCGAAUUAAUGAGAGAGGAAUAAGCGCAGAGGGUAUGGAAAGAAAGAGAGAAACUGCGUUAGAGAGAGGUAGGUGAGACUACAGGGAGGAAGAGGAUCUGGCAGAUAGCUCCAGGUAAUGCAGAGCCGGAGCGAGAGGAAGGGGGCGGGUGCGGCUCAGAGGAGGUGAAGGCUGCAGCUGAUUGGGUGAGGGAGCUGUGACAGUUGGCGGCACCAGUCUCGUCUGCCCGUCGGCCGCGCCAUUAGACCGAGCUGAAGUCUCGUGAGUCUCAGUCAGUGUGGGGUUCCAGAAAAGAGGGCAGGGCGGGGUGUGACCUGGUAGCCUGGUCAUGUACAGGACGGUCCUCUCCGUUCGACGGAGGUACUGUUGGUCUGCACUUUACGCAUUGGGUAGCUACAUACUGUGUUGUAAGCAACAGCCGAGAAAACAAGUAACAUGGAGCCCUAUCCACUAUGAAGGGAAAUACAGAACAUACAGAAAUACACAAACAUGUACACAUAUGCCUACACAGACUGUACACACGUGACACUAGCACAACAUGUGCUUAUUGGUAUGGGGCCUGCUUGCCAGUGGGCGGGGCCGUGGGACACGGUUGUGGGAGGGGCAGUAGGCGGGGUUUAUUUCCAGGUCUGUUGGAGGGGGUGUGUAUGCACGGGGGCGUGGCUGUGGGCGGGGAGGCGGGACGGGCUCGUCCCCGGGGGCCCCGCUCACAGCCGCGCACCCCGUUGCCUUGGUGUCUUGCUCCGCAGGGACGGGGGACAGCUCUGAGCGCUGCCUCGCCGAGGCCGACGCCCUGCUAGAGCAGUCCCUGCGUCUCGAGCAGGGCUCGGACCUGGCGGCGGCGCUGUGCGUCUGCAACCAGGCUGUGUCCAAACUAAGACUUGCC